Onychostoma macrolepis is the source of this 717-nucleotide long non-coding RNA. RefSeq lists it as uncharacterized. Lineage: Eukaryota; Metazoa; Chordata; Actinopteri; Cypriniformes; Cyprinidae. The transcript is spliced from 3 exons. The record is from RefSeq and is a predicted model, not a curated record.
AACUCAUAGGCUGUAUCUUAUUUUUUUCCUUUUAAUUCAAAAGUUAUAAUCUAGGACAUGCCUAAAAUAUAAUAUGGGUCAAAUCUGCAUUGGUGAACUGACAUUACUCACAUACAGUAUAUCAUCCACACAGAUCCCAGCGGGCACAUUGACGUCAAUUUGACAUCAACAAAUAGUCAAGAUUUUGACCACCAUGUAUGACAUGCAUGAAUAUGCAUAUUUUCAUUAUAUUACAAGUAGCCAGGUGCCAUCCAGAAGUCACAACCUGGCAUCACAGAAGCUUCCAUUGGUAGCCUGAUGGCCAACCAUUUGCGCGCUGCGCCGGACAGAAGAGGGGGCACUGGGCGCCGGAAGGCACUUGAGAGCUCUGGAAGUGUGAAUCCAUAGCGGCCCCACUAUAUUACAAAAAAAUAAAAUAAAAACAUAUCAGAUCUCAAAGUAUGUGUAUGUUGUCAGUCAUUGUACAUUUAGGUUGAAAUUGAGUAAUGCUUGACAUUGAAAUAUCAAAAUAUGUCAAUAAAUUUGUGAUGUCAAAAAUAUGUCAAAAAAUGUUUGAUGUCACAUUUAUGUUGAAUUGAUAUCGAAGCUUGAUAUUGAAUGAUAUCAAAAUAGCAUUAAAAUGACAUCAACAUCAUGACAUCCUGACAUCAAAUAGAUGUAGAAUUGACAUCAAAUGCCAACAAAGCAUGACAUCAAAAUAACAUCAAAAUGACAUCA